CCUACGGGAGGCAGCAGUGAGGAAUAUUGGUCAAUGGACGAGAGUCUGAACCAGCCAAGUAGCGUGAAGGAUGACUGCCCUAUGGGUUGUAAACUUCUUUUAUAUGGGAAUAAAAUGUUCCACGUGUAGGAUUUUGUAUGUACCAUAUGAAUAAGGAUCGGCUAACUCCGUGCCAGCAGCCGCGGUAAUACGGAGGAUCCGAGCGUUAUCCGGAUUUAUUGGGUUUAAAGGGAGCGUAGGUGGAUUGUUAAGUCAGUUGUGAAAGUUUGCGGCUCAACCGUAAAAUUGCAGUUGAAACUGGCAGUCUUGAGUACAGUAGAGGUGGGCGGAAUUCGUGGUGUAGCGGUGAAAUGCUUAGAUAUCACGAAGAACUCCGAUUGCGAAGGCAGUUCACUGGACUGCAACUGACACUGAGGCUCGAAAGUGUGGGUAUCAAACAGGAUUAGAUACCCGAGUAGUC
Molecule: ribosomal RNA, 460 nt
Filed under: uncultured bacterium
Lineage: Bacteria
Description: partial 16S ribosomal RNA
Rfam family: Bacterial small subunit ribosomal RNA
Source: RNAcentral